RNAcentral lists this microRNA (21 nucleotides) under Homo sapiens (human). Its description in RNAcentral is "hsa-miR-6795-3p". Lineage: Eukaryota; Metazoa; Chordata; Mammalia; Primates; Hominidae. The record is from miRBase by way of RNAcentral.
ACCCCUCGUUUCUUCCCCCAG